This is a non-coding RNA of Triticum urartu, 3187 nucleotides long. Lineage: Eukaryota; Viridiplantae; Streptophyta; Magnoliopsida; Poales; Poaceae. The record is from RefSeq and is a predicted model, not a curated record.
CUCUCCCUCUCCCGUUUUUCCAUUAGGCACAUACGUCCCAGAUAAUCAAAUUGAACUAAUGAAAUGUGAGUUACAUAUCAAAAAAAAUAUCACUGUUAACUUCUAACGCAUAUGAACUCAAUGUGACAUAAUACAUAUUUCAAUCAAACUAGCGAUCUAGAAAUGCACAAGAGCCUUAUAAACCCAGAGAAUAGGGCCACAACUCCAAAAUAGGGCCACAACUUCAAACAUCAACCACUAAAUCAUGGUCAGUCCAUGUUCAAACACAAUAGUCCAAUCACAGUCAGUCAGAGUUCAUUAACCAGGACAACAUUACAUAAUCCAUAAUCGACCACAAUGUUCACAACAACCCGCAAUGUGAGUUUGUCUGAAGCAUGUCUCUCUUCCAGUGAUGACACGAUUCAUAGAAUGAAACCUCUUUCUGAUGAAGACUCGCGAAUACUCUUCCAUAGAAGAAUAUUUCAAAGCGAGGACAAAUGUCCAGAAGAUUUGCAGGUAGUAUCAAGAGACAUCUUGAAGAAAUGUGGUGGUGUACCAUUAGCCAUCAUUAUAAUAGCUAGCCUACUUGCUAGUAAUCAACGAGUAAAGCAAAAAUAUGAGUGGAUGCAUUUGCACAAUUCGAUUGGCCGUGGAGUUACACAAGGUGAUAUUGUGAAGGACAUGAACAUGAUAUUAUCACUCAGCUAUUAUGAUUUGCCAUCCCAUCUGAAGCCUUGUUUAUUAUAUCUAAGCAUCUUUCCUGAAGACUUUGAGAUUAAGAGAGAUUGGCUGAUAUGGAGGUGGCUUGCUGAAGGGUUUAUCCAAUGUGACAAAGAAGAAACCAGGCUGUUUGAGAUCGGAGAGCGCUACUUCAACGAGCUCAUGAAUAGGAGCUUGAUCCAGCCAGCGAAAAUCAAUGACGAAGGAACGGUAGUAACUUGCCGUAUACAUGAUGUGGUGCUUGACCUUAUAUGCUCACUGUCAAGUGCGGAAAAUUUUAUCUUCAUAUUGAAUAAUGCUGAGUGCCAUGCACCUAAUCUGCAAAGGAAGUUUCGCAGAUUAUCACUUCAUAAUAUCAAGGCAAAGGUUCAGAAUCAUCAGUUUGAUAGCACCAGCCUGUCAAAAGUGAGGACCUUUGCUGUUUUUUCUCCCGUUGCUUGUGAUUGGUUGCCAUCUCUCUCAAGCUUCCAUUUUUUACGUGUGCUGGAUCUUGGAAAUUGUGGCAGCCGUGAAAGUAGCUCUGGUCUCAACCUCAAGUAUGUUCGGAAUUUAAUUCACCUAAGAUACUUAGGGCUCAAGGGUGCAGAUGUUCACGAACUCCCAGUGGACAUAAGCAAGCUGCAGCUUUUGCAGAUACUGGACAUACAAGGAACUAGAAUAAAUGAGUUACCUGCAAGUAUUGUUCAACUAAGAAAUUUGAUAUGCCUAUCUGUCGAUAGUGGCUUGAGGCUGCCAAAAGGAAUGGGGAACUUGAUGUCCCUUGAAGUGCUGGAACGAGUAGGCUUAUCCUCAUCUUCUCAUAUUGUGGAAGAGUUGAGGCAUCUGACAGAGGUUAUGACACUCGGUGUUGACUGUUAUAACAUGGACGAGGAUCUGAUUGAUAUAUUAAUCAAGUCUCUAGGCAACCUGCACAAAUUGCAAAAUCUGCAUAUUGAUGAUGGUGGCAGAUUGAUAGAUCGCAUGUGUGAAAGCUGGGUGCCCCCUCCAAACCUUCGUAGUUUUGAUUCAUGGGACCCCUUCUUUUUCUUUUCGUCGUUAUGCAGACUUCCAAAGUGGGUCAAUUCAAGGUCGCUUCCUCACCUCUCCAGCCUGGCCAUAGAUGUGGAAGAACUGCAAGGGGAUGACGUUCAGAUCAUUGGGAUGCUGCCUGCUCUUCGGUCUCUGCGACUUGCUGCAAAACGAGUGAUGGGAAGGUUGGUUGUGAGGGCCGAUGCAUUCCCAUCUGCGAGAUGCUGCAAGUUCUACGGGUUUCUGACUUGGCCAUGCCUUUUUCCACCUGGAGCUAUGCCAAGGGUUCAACACCUUGAUUUCUGGGUAUCUUAUUGGUCGAUCGCGAUUGGUGAGGUUGACUGUGGCAUGAACCACCUCCCUUCUCUCGAGCAUGUCAAGGUUACUCUGCAGCGUGAUAGGUUCACUGUUAACGGGGUCGAUGAAGAGGUGGAUAUAGCCAAGGCUUUGCUGAGGCGCGCAACAGAAGCCCAUCCAAAACGUCCCACCAUUGAAAUCUAUUCGACAUAAGUGCUCACAUUCCUUGCCGCCGGCCUUGAAUAAAAUCUUGGGAGCCAAAUACUAGUAAUCCAACCAGUCGCCUUUCGAUAGGCAACAAACAAUUCAUUGCGCCGAGGCAGGCACCAGCAUCUCGUUUGAUUCGUGUACCGCUGCAGCUCCCGAUAAGCAAGGAUCAUUCUCUCCAACCAAGUCUUGUUUUUGGAGGUCGUGAUAGAGAGCCACAAACGCUUGUCACUGGGGUUCCUUUGCAGUUGAUUCAGUUUUGGGUUGCCACUUAUCAUAGCAGUAGCUCAGUCUACCUCCUUUGGAGUUGAUUCAGUUCUGGAGCCACUGGUAGUGGAGACGCCUCGCCAGUUUGGAUUUCUCAACCGCUGGGAGAGAAACAGACAUGUCUGCCUGCCAACAUGUAAGGUCUGGACUUGGAUGCUGGCAUUCGCCACGGUUAGUACUCUAUCAGUGAACCUUUGAGCUUGCCAGUUUUCCUCCUAAGCAACACAGAGGUUUUACCAGUGUUCGAAGAUACAGAAAACAAUAAAUUGACUGCUGAAGAUCUACCGGAAUCAGUGAUACAUUUCGUUGCAUACGAUUCGCAAAUCAGAUGCAGAGGCGGGUGCCUGCAGAAACUGUAACUGAAAAAACAAAGCAAAACAGGGUGAUAUUUUUGUUUUCAGAUGAUUGCCUCGGCUUGUGUUGGAAGCAGAUGGUAUUAGGAGUAGAUGAUAUUACGCCGUAUUGUUGAGAGGUCGUACUGGAAAUGUACCGCUCACGUACCCUCAAGGCUACACGUGGUACUGAAAAUUGAAUCUGUGCGUACUCUUUAUGGGUCUUCAUGUGCAUGAAAAAACAGAACACCGAUGCCUGGAAUCAGUCAACAGGUUAUUGGUCUGUAUGUUGCUUGCUUUGUGCUUAGCGUGUUGACAGCCUGAAGUAAGGCGCGUACAAUUUACAGUUUUAUAGCCCAUGCGUGUGAACAUGUUAG